AACGAACGCUGGCGGCAUGCCUAACACAUGCCAGUCGAACGAGACCUUCGGGUCUAGUGGCGCACGGGUGCGUAACGCGUGGGAACCUGCCCUUAGGUUCGGAAUAACUCCCCGAAAGGGGUGCUAAUACCGGAUAAUUUCUUCGGACCAAAGAUUUAUCGCCUUUGGAUGGGCCCGCGUUGGAUUAGCUAGUUGGUAGGGUAAAAGCCUACCAAGGCGACGAUCCAUAGCUGGUCUGAGAGGAUGAUCAGCCACACUGGGACUGAGACACGGCCCAGACUCCUACGGGAGGCAGCAGUGGGGAAUAUUGGACAAGGGGCGAAAGCCUGAUCCAGCAAUGCCGCGUGAGUGAUGAAGGCCUUAGGGUUGUAAAGCUCUUUUACCCGGGAUGAUAAUGACAGUACCGGGAGAAUAAGCGCCGGCUAACUCCGUG
Molecule: ribosomal RNA, 433 nt
Filed under: uncultured bacterium
Lineage: Bacteria
Description: partial 16S ribosomal RNA
Rfam family: Bacterial small subunit ribosomal RNA
Source: RNAcentral